GUAGGUGGCAAGCGUUGUCCGGAAUUAUUGGGGCGUAAAGCGCGCGCAGGCGGUUCUUUAAGUCUGAUGUGAAAGCCCACGGGCUCAACCGUGGAGGGUCAUUGGAAACUGGAGAACUUGAGUACAGAAGAGGAAAGCGGAAUUCCACGUGUAGCGGUGAAAUGCGCAGAGAUGUGGAGGAACACCAGUGGCGAAGGCGGCUUUCUGGUCUGUAACUGACGCUGAGGCGCGAAAGCGUGGGGAGCAAACAGGAUUAGAUACCCUGGUAGUCCACGCCGUAAACGAUGAGUGCUAAGUGUUAGGGGGUUUCCGCCCCUUAGUGCUGCAGCUAACGCAUUAAGCACUCCGCCUGGGGAGUACGGCCGCAAAGGCUG
Molecule: ribosomal RNA, 374 nt
Filed under: uncultured organism
Description: partial 16S ribosomal RNA
Rfam family: Bacterial small subunit ribosomal RNA
Source: RNAcentral